UACGGGGGGGGCAAGCGUUGCUCGGAAUCACUGGGCGUAAAGGGUGCGUAGGCGGGUCUUUAAGUCAGGGGUGAAAUCCUGGAGCUCAACUCCAGAACUGCCUUUGAUACUGAGGAUCUUGAGUACGGGAGAGGUGAGUGGAACUGCGAGUGUAGAGGUGAAAUUCGUAGAUAUUCGCAAGAACACCAGUGGCGAAGGCGGCUCACUGGCCCGUUACUGACGCUGAGGCACGAAAGCGUGGGGAGCAAACAGG
Molecule: ribosomal RNA, 253 nt
Filed under: uncultured bacterium
Lineage: Bacteria
Description: partial 16S ribosomal RNA
Rfam family: Bacterial small subunit ribosomal RNA
Source: RNAcentral